Molecule: non-coding RNA, 8869 nt
Organism: Rattus norvegicus (Norway rat)
Lineage: Eukaryota; Metazoa; Chordata; Mammalia; Rodentia; Muridae
Source: RefSeq, a predicted model, not a curated record
AAAGAUUUUUAAUUAUUUAAAAGUUAUAAACUUUGUUGUGGGCCUGGGGCAUAGUGCUGUGGCAAAAGCACUUGGCUGGUCUUGGGCUUGACGCAUGGCAUCUCGGAAAUAAGUAAUGGAAGCCCAGCACUCAGGAGGCAGAGGCAGGGAGAUCUCUGAGUUUGAGAUCAGCCUGCUCUGCAGAACAAGUUUCAGGACAGCCAGGGAUACUUUGUCUUGAAAUUACACACACACACACACACACACACACACACACACACACACACACACACACAGUCUAGAAGUCAGUAACAAGGCAAGACUUGUCAGUAGACCUAAAGCUCUUAAGUCAGGAAAUUUUUUCCAAAAAAGCCAAAAUGGCGGCUGUAUAGUGGGAGAUGGCUCUGAGACACAGUCAACAUAUCGACAGACACACAGACACAUGUCCUAAGUCAUCUUCUUGACAAGGAUGUAUAAUCGUACAUUCUGAGAAACUUAGACCAGCCCCAGGUGUGGGUCUCGCCACAAAACUGAGAUCUCAAAGCAGCAGCCGGCUGGGCACGCCUAUAACCCAAAACAUGAGAAGUUUUGGUAAGAGGACUGGCAUGAGUCCAGGGAUAGCCUAGGCUACAUAGGGAGUAUCAGGCCAGACAGGGUUACCUGGCGAGAGCUUGUCUCAAACAAAAAGUAAAGUGAUCUGGGCACAGACAUCCGACCUGCUGAAAUUCUGCAGGGUGAGGCAGUUAACCAGGAGUUUAAGCUGUGCACAGGUUCUGCUUUUUCGAAAGCUCGGUACGGUAGUUGUAACAGCAAUUGUCAGGUGAGGCCAGUAGACCAGAAGGCCAAUGCCCUGUCUCAACAAACAGAUUGGUUAGGUGUGACCCAAGUGUUUCAAAGGCAGAGAAAUGAGGGUUGCCAAAUGUUCCAGACCAAUGAAGACUAAGUAACGAAGACCCUUUUUCAAAAAGCAAAUCGGUAUCAAGAGCACUUGCUACCCUUCCAGAGGACCUGGGUUCAAUUCCCAGCAUUCAUGUGGCAGUUUACAACCAUCUGUGGGCUCUGUUAGCACCAUGCACGCUCACAGUGCACAGACACUCAUGAGGCAAAACUCCACACAUGGUAAGACAAAACCGUAAAACUUAUAGCCAUAAUCCCCCGCAGGCAUAGCGCUUCCUGCCUCUAAUACCCGUACGCAAGGGUGGAAACAACCAAGACCAGCAAGGGCUAUAUCGUAAGCUGGCAGCCCUCGGGAGCCUCCUGAGGCUCUGUCUCGGAACGAAAAAAAUACUAGUUAAGUAAAAAAAUGAGGUCUAGCCAGACAUGGAGCCACAGAUAGGCCUUUGAUCCCAGAACUGGGAAGCAGCGGCAGGCAGAGCACUGAGUUCAAGGUCAGCUGUGAUGAUACAUGUCUAUGCUCUCAGCGCUCUGGAGGCCUGCCCAGGGGAAAGCUUGUGAUUCAAGCCAACAUGGAAUAUAAGUGAGACUCUGUCUAAAAAAAUUAUAGCUGGUGCCAGGUAGAUAGCUCAGCAGGCACACUUGCACAGAGCAGCUGUUCAUGCACAGAGGCACGGACACAAACGAAAUAAAAAGGUAACCAUUGUUCUAAGUUGUUAAAGUUCUUGAAUUUGCCAGGCAUGGUAGCACAGGCUGUAAUCCCAGUACCUGGGAGGUGGAACGGGAUGGUCAGAAGGUCAGGCCCAGCCUCUGCUCUAUGAAACCCUGUCUUAGAAGACAAACAAAAAACCAUUUGGGUGACUCACACCCGCAAUCCCAGCACUGGAGGGGCAGAUGCAGGACAGGCAUUGCAAAUUUGAGGCCAGCCUCAUCUACACAUUAAGUUCCAGGCCAGCCAAAGACUACUUAGAGAUGCUGUUUUUAAAAAGUCCAAAACCAAAACAUAAAUAAUACUGGGUGGAAGGACUUGUGCUUAUAAUCCCAGCACUCAGAUGGUUGAGGCAGGACUGUUUGUCCAGGAAUUCCUGGCCAGCCUGGACUAUAACGGGAGUUCCAGGCCAGACAUUAAUACCUGUUCUCGCAAUGCCAUCUUCUUGCAAGGUACCGGUGAGGAGGAAAUGAGUUCAUUUAUAAAUUUAAAGUGGGAAGACUCAGCUUGGCACGAUGAUGAUCUGUAAUUCCCGCCCCGCCCCGGAAAGGAGGCAGAGACAGGAGAAUCACUGCAAGCUCAAGGCCAGUCUGUUCUGUACAGCAAGACCCAGUUUCAGUAAACAAAGCAACUGUGUAAACCUUUGCGGCUAAGCUUUGAAUCUGAUACACCAGUUAGUUUCAAUCCUGGCUAAAGAGUCUACAGCUGGGGCUUGGUGGUAGAGCUAGCCCUCAGAGUUACACAGGACUUACAGAGUUAAACUAGGACUCGUCUACUGGAACCGAAAUAAGGAAACCUCCCAAUAUUUUCUGCUGUAGGAUUCAUCCUAGUGGGACCUCUUUCUCACGGAUAUUUCAUGCAAGAUACUUAAUUCUGUGCCUCAGUUUCUUCCCUUGUUGAAAGAGGAGAGUAUCAAGAAUAUCACACAGUCUGCCAGGGCAACAUCAACACUCCGGAGCCUGACGAUGGGGGAGGAGGAGCCGUGACGAGUUAAAGGGUUACACAGUGACUUUGAGGUCCUUGUCUCUAAAACAGCAUUUGGUGGCUAAGCCCAAGGUCAAUGGUAGAACACUCGUUUGCCAUUCACAAGAUUCUGGGUUUUUUCCCCCUAGAGCCGGAGCGUGCUAAAGGGUACUUGGCACAAAGUAGUACCUAGGACAGGGACCAUUUUGUAGACCAAAGUUAAUGCUUCUAUGUCGGAAAUUAACAAGCAAAGGCAGGAGACAUCGAAGGCUAACCUUUAGACCUAAAACCCAGGGUACUCAGGGAGCCCCACUAGCCCUUCGGCAUCCAGCCGGCCCCUGGCUCCGCCCCUUCCCUCCUAGCCCCGCCCAUACGCUCCAGUCCCGGCCUACGCUAGUCUCGCGUAUUUUCAGCGCGCGCGAGCUCUUCAACUGGGGCCGGCGGUUGGUCGGGCGAAGCCAUCUUCCACGUGACGUAGGGGGAACGUAAAGCCUACGAGACCACACUGUUCUUCAUUUUUCAGCAUUUCGGAUCUAGACCCUCUCACUCCUGUAUUAUUUUCCUCUGUUCUGCACGCCGAAGGGCCUGCUAGUAUCCGAGCCGCGUCGAGGAUAGAGCGUCUCUGGCGACUCUCGGAGAGCUCCCCUCCUGACAGGAAGCAAUUGGGAGAGGCCGAAGGCGGGCGAGGGCGGGAGGCGGCCCUAGCGCCAUUUUGUGGGCACGAAGCGGUAGCUCGGCUGUUGUUGGGUUCCUUUCCGUCUUCGAUCCUUCGUUGUGCUUCCUAGCAGCGGCCCAGUGGAGAUUUAAGCAAAGAUGUCUGAAUAUAUUCGGGUAACAGAAGAUGAGAAUGAUGAGCCCAUUGAAAUACCAUCAGAAGACGAUGGGACAGUGUUGCUGUCCACAGUUACAGCCCAGUUUCCAGGGGCGUGUGGCCUGCGCUACCGGAAUCCAGUGUCUCAGUGUAUGAGAGGUGUCCGACUGGUGGAAGGAAUUCUGCAUGCCCCAGAUGCUGGCUGGGGCAAUCUGGUCUAUGUUGUCAACUAUCCCAAAGAUAACAAAAGGAAAAUGGAUGAGGCGGAUGCUUCCUCUGCAGUGAAAGUGAAAAGAGCAGUCCAGAAGACAUCUGACCUCAUAGUGUUGGGUCUCCCCUGGAAAACAACAGAGCAGGACCUAAAAGACUACUUCAGUACUUUUGGAGAGGUUCUUAUGGUUCAGGUCAAGAAAGAUCUUAAAACUGGUCACUCAAAAGGGUUUGGCUUUGUUCGAUUUACGGAAUAUGAAACUCAAGUGAAAGUAAUGUCACAGCGACAUAUGAUAGAUGGGCGAUGGUGUGACUGUAAACUUCCAAAUUCUAAGCAAAGCCCAGACGAGCCUUUGAGAAGCAGAAAGGUGUUUGUUGGACGUUGUACAGAGGACAUGACUGCUGAAGAGCUUCAGCAGUUCUUCUGUCAGUAUGGAGAAGUGGUAGAUGUCUUCAUUCCCAAACCAUUCAGAGCUUUUGCCUUUGUUACCUUUGCAGAUGAUAAGGUUGCCCAGUCUCUUUGUGGAGAGGACUUGAUCAUUAAAGGAAUCAGCGUGCAUAUAUCCAAUGCUGAACCUAAGCAUAAUAGCAAUAGACAGUUAGAAAGAAGUGGAAGAUUUGGUGGUAAUCCAGGUGGCUUUGGGAAUCAGGGUGGGUUUGGUAACAGUAGAGGGGGUGGAGCUGGCUUGGGAAAUAACCAGGGUGGUAAUAUGGGUGGAGGGAUGAAUUUUGGUGCUUUUAGCAUUAAUCCAGCGAUGAUGGCUGCAGCUCAGGCAGCGUUACAGAGCAGUUGGGGUAUGAUGGGCAUGUUAGCCAGCCAGCAGAACCAGUCAGGCCCAUCUGGGAAUAACCAAAGCCAGGGCAGCAUGCAGAGGGAACCAAAUCAGGCUUUUGGUUCUGGAAAUAACUCUUACAGUGGUUCUAAUUCUGGUGCCCCCCUUGGUUGGGGGUCAGCAUCAAAUGCAGGAUCAGGCAGUGGUUUUAAUGGAGGCUUUGGCUCAAGCAUGGAUUCUAAAUCCUCUGGCUGGGGAAUGUAGGUGGGUGGGGGUGGUUAGUAGGUUGGUUGGUAGGUUAGGUAGGUUUAGAAUGGUGGGAUUCAAAUUUUUCUAAACUCAUGGUAAGUAUAUUGUAAAAUACAUAUGUACUAAAAUUUUCAGAUUGGUUUGUUCAGUGUGGAGUAUAUUCAGCAGUAUUUUUGACAUUUUUCUUUAGAAAAAAGAGGGAAAAACUAAAUGAAUUUUAUAAGUUUUGUUAUAUAAAGGGUUAAAAUACUGAGUGGGUGAAAGUGAACUGCUGUUUGCCUAAUUGGUAAACCAACACUACAAUUGAUCUCAGAAGGUUUCUCUGUAAUAUUCUAUCAUUGGAAUUGUUAAUGAAUUCUUUGCAUGUUCAGAGUAGAAACCAUUGGUUAGAACUACAUUCUUUUCUCCUUAUUUUAAUUUGAAUCCCACCCUAUGAAUUUCUUCCUUAGGAAAAUCUCCAUUUGGGAGAUCAUGAUGUCAUGGUGUUUGGUUCUUUUGGUUUUGUUUUUAACACUUGUCUUCCUUCAUAUACGAAAGUACAAUAUGAAGCCUUCAUUUAAUCUCUGCAGUUCAUCUCAUUUCAAAUGUUUAUGGAAGAAGCACUUCAUUGAAAGUAGUGCUGUAAAUAUUCUGCCAUAGGAAUACUUCUGUCUACAUGCUUUCUCAUCCAAGAAUUCGUCAUCACGCUGCACAGGCUGCGUCUUUGACGCACUUGCACUAUUACUCAGCAGCAGUAACAUGGUAACAUUAAAAUGGUUUUCGGGGACCUCCAAAGACUAAAACUGGCAAGCCGUCCAGGAGUCCUGGGGUAAGUUACUUGUCAAUGGCAUGGUUUUGAUCCCUUUUUUGCACUUGUUAAAGACUUACUGGUCAUAGAAGGCUUUCAGUGUUGAGUAGCCUUUUGUUUAACAUGUUUAUGGUAUGACAUAGCUGUAGAUAGUUACUUGCCAUAAAUGAAGUUUUAGAAAUAAACUACUUGGCAAAGAUUUGUUUUCGAAAGUCUGGUCAUCAAAACGCGUUCAUUCCUUAAAAAUAAUGAAAGAGAACUCUUUGAACCUCGGUUGAAUAAAAGGUUUUCUUGCCACCAACAGUUAGUGUCUGAAGUCUUACUGGAAAAAAAACAUUUCUAUAUCAUGACAAUGCUAGGGAGUUAAAGUGACUGCUAUGGGAAGAUGCAGUGGGGCAUUUUCAUCUUUUAAAAUGUGAGUCUCCAGCUGGGCGUGAUGGCCCAUGCUUUUCAUCCCAGAAUUUGAGGCAGGUAGGAGUGAGCUGUAGGCCCGCUAUUGCUCCAUCAUGAGGGAGGGAUGGAGGGAGGCCCUGUCUUAAAAACUGUUGCAAGAGGCAAGUAAAAUUAAUCAUGACAUUUAAGGUUAAGUCAGCAUCUUAGCAGAAGAGCAGUUUAUUUCAUGAUGAAUUACUAGUUUUGUUACCACAUAAGAGGAUGACUAUACUGUGUAGUUAGGUUUUGCUUCCCUGUGCCCAAAUAGUUCGUGCUCACCUAGGAAAAGUGGGCUGGGUCUAGUGAAAUACCUGUUCCAGCUUUUGAAAUGGAUUCCUAAAUUGCCCUUCUGAAGGGUAAAAUAGUGACUGUUUUUGUUUCCCACUCUUUUAUGGUGUGGGUUUUAUAAUAGCUUGUCUAAUGAUGUGAAAGCCAUACCUGCUUUCAGUUUACCUUCCAAAAGGAGUUUCUCAGGUAUUCUAGAACCAGUACUGGUACACUCUGUAAAAGCACUUUCUGAGCUCAUUAAGACCAAAUGUACACUGGGAAAAUGCACAACAAGCCCUUUGUCAGCCAGGUGUGGGGACGGCCAGUAUGAAAUAAGUAGGUUGUAGGGCGUCAAGUACAAAUUGACUUAGUGAGCCUGUGUGAUUGGUAAAGCACUGUUGUGUUGAACACAAGUCAGAGCUGACACAUUGGCAAGUGUUCUUGAACCUGUAAUGACCUCAUCUGCUUCAGUUUGGUGUUAGGUUGUCCAUUCUCAGGUUUGUAGGCUUCCUGGGUACUUAACAGAUACAAGAAACAAUUUACUAAUUGGAGGAUGCAAAUUAGAAAUUAUUUAUUAUGUUCUCAAUCCAGGGAAUAUAGUUCGUGACUUUCGUGUAGACCCCAUACUGUUCUGACCCCCCACAGUUAAUAGAACCCCAGGAAACUAUUCCUCCCACAAACCAUCUCUGUGUUUCAUUGUCUAGAAACACUAAUGCCCCUCCGCUGUCACCUCUGCAGCUGUCCUUGCCACCGGCGUCUAGGCCAGCACAGAGCAUGUUAACAGUCACUUUUGCUCCUGGGUAGGGCUGCUUUGUAUACGCAGUAGCACAUUUUUGGUGGUCAACAAUUGGUAUGUCCACAAACAUUAGGUUUCUAGCAAGAAACCCCUUCUGGGUUAACCCCCAGCCAGCCACAGUUCCAACGAAGUCUGUUUUCAUUAAGGAUGCAGCUUCUUUUCUUGGUAGACAAAUCGGCAUGAUGUUUCUGUUGAUUGUGACUUUGUUCUUGAGUUUAAUCAGUGCUAUAUCAUUGUCAAAACCAGCUCCGUGAGUGUAGCCUUCAUGGAUAAAGACAGCCUCUGGCCAGGCUUGAGUGUAAUGAGGGGAGAGCCUUUUGAGGAUGCCCAUGCGGAUGUCCAGGGAGGACAUCGCCUCUGUUUUCCCAUAUACAGCAUGAGCCGCUGUUAGGACCCAGUCGUCAUGUAUAAGAGCACCUGCUGCUGUAGUUUCACCCAGUAACAAGACUUGCCAAGGAAAGUCACCAGGCUUUGCAGGCUGUCCUCCAAUUAUACGGCCUCCUGAAGUGUGUGUGGACAGUCCACAGACUGAGGAAAAAAAAUUUGGUGUCAGCCUAAACGUACACCCCACAAAUUGAUAGGAAUGAGGUCAUUCUAUCCCCCCCCUUUUUUUUCUUUGGAGGUGGGGACCGAACCCAGGGCCUUGAGCUUGCUAGGCAAGCACUCUACCACUGAGCCAAAUCCCCAACCCCUGAGGCCACUCUAAAUAGUAUAUAAAGAACUGAGAUGUCCUUGUUUGACCUGGUUAUCUCCUUGUAAAGAUCAGUAACAGACCUCACAGGUUAUGUUUUGCUAAAAGAAAAAGGGAGUCUAGACAGGAAUUAUUUGCAGGAAGACAUGACACUGCAAAGAGGCAAAGGGCAGGAUCCCUCACCAUACUGUGUGCUGCUUUUUUAGCUUACUAGGAAUUCUGAGGAACUAUGAUUUACAAAAUGACUUUUGCCUUUGAAUGUAAAAGUUUAGAUUACAGUGUUGCAGCAAUAGCCAAGGUGCUUCUGGUUCAAAAAUUGGUUGAGCCAUCCAAACCCUUUUACCAUGCAUUGCAAGCUGAGUGCUCAGAAAUGCAACGUCUGUUCCUUAUUGUGGUUGUGCACUUUGAUUAAAACUGAGAAGCAGCAUGUCAGCCAAAUCCAGGGCUAGAAAACUAAUUUAAACCAGCUAACAUGGGGGUAAUGAGUGUAUUAUUACCUUUCAAUUAAAAAAAGCAUUCUCAAGUAUUGUUGGAGCCAAUUCUGGUAAAGAAAUUUAAGUACUAUUAAAAGGCAAAUUGCAUUAAUGUUUAAAAAUCUAGAUGUCGUUGAAAACAAUUGCUUAGGGAAAUAAUGAAGUUAUUAGCUUUGGGGUUUAAUAGCAUUUUUACAGAGAAGAAAAGUAACAAGAGUUCGUGGUUAUAAAUGUGUAAAUGGUUUGAGAUAAUUUAAGAAAUCAUUUAAUUUUUUUAUGCUUGCCUAGUUACGAGGUCAAAAGCAAUCCGGUGCAUGAUGCAGCCCACACCUAACUUCCAUGUGGGAAGGGGUGAUGUGAGCCAGCACACUGUUGGGGAGCACUAAGCCAGCCUAAGCCAGCGGCUGGGCUUCCUUCUUGCCUCCCCACCUAGGCCCUGCCUAUUGUCUGCAGCUACUCUGUCAGUUAUGAAUCUCUUUUAUAAAUGCGUCCAUUACCAGGCUUGCAAACCGGGAGGGAUUUUUCUCCUUUGGAGCUCGUCCAGAAUCCAUCAGCCUCACACACAUAUUUACCUGCAAGUCAUUGGAAAAGCAAAAAUGUUUAGCUCUAGUUGUCAUUUGCUUGAACAACCCCUUGAAAAAUGUUGAUUCUUGAGCAUCCGUGGUGGGGAGAGGUGUGUGAAUAACCAUUUUACAUGAUUUCAUAAAUAGGAUCUGCAUUACCAUGUUUGCUUGCAAAGUGGAAACCUUUUAGAUGUGUAACUUGAAUAUGUAUCAAGAUCUCAAGUGCUUAAUGAUAAGGUUUUGACUUGUUAAAUUAAACCGUUUGGAAUAUA